UAUUAAAAAAUUCAUCCAUUUUAUUGUUAAAAUUUGGUGUAGCUGAUGGAAUAACUAGAUAAUAACUUGUGGUGUGUGCCACGUGUACCUCAUGUUGAUGCAUAGAGAUCAAUUUUUAAUAGUAAAAAUGAAUGAAUUUUUUAACA
This is a non-coding RNA of Gossypium hirsutum (cotton), 146 nucleotides long. The record is from Rfam. NCBI's taxonomy places the organism in Eukaryota, Viridiplantae, Streptophyta, Magnoliopsida, Malvales, Malvaceae.